GACUCCCUCUCCCAUUGGCUAAAGUUACAGGAAAUUAGAACUGAGGCAUGACUCCCUCUCCCAUUGGCAAUUAGAGCUGAGGCAACACUUCCUUUCCCAUUGGCUAAAGUUACAGGAAAAGCUGAGGCAAGAUUCCUUCUCUCACUGGCUGCAGGAUACUCUCUUCCACUGGCUAAAAUGACAGGACGUGGCCAUUUGCAGCCAUGAUGCAAGAUGCUGCUCUCCCAUUGACUGCAGGUUACUUCCCUCCCACUCACUGGCUAAACUUGCAGGGGAUGGUUUCUCUCACAGAAAGUCCUCCAUGAUGUGCUUGUGUGUGACAAAGGGAUGGGGGUGGGGCUGUGUGUGUUACUUCCAUACCAAAAAAGCAUAAAACUGGUGUAAAAUGUAAGUUAUGUUUAUAAAGCUGCACCAUGUGAAUUAACCCUGCCCUUUGGCAAUAAUUCCAUAUAGUAAAGCUGUGAGGCACUUGUUUAUAACCCUGCGUAUACCAGAGUUACACCAGAAUUUACACACAGAGCCCUUGUAUAUCAAAAUACCUGCACUUACAAUAGAUGUUGUCUAACUGCCAUAACACUGAUGUAUAUCAAGAAUCAUAUACCUGCUGUCUAAUCUUGUAAGGUCUUUCAUUGACUUUUUAGUAUAAGCCCUUUAUUUAAUGCCACCUUUAUACUUCCAUUAAUAUCCCCCUAUUCAUGUUAUCCUCUUCCUUUGCUGGGCAGAACUGCCAUACCACUUGCCAAUGUAAGGGCACCAGGAAUGCAGCUGUGAAUGGACACUGACAAUUUAACUCAUACAAAGUGGUUACCCCCUCAGCAGGUCGCGGUAUGAGAAAGAUGAGAAUCUUCAUCCAAGGUGGGAGAGAGCAUCACUGCAGACCUUCUAUCAACAAGGAAGAUUUAUUGCAGAGAUUUCUCACACCUACUGUGGGUCCGUCACUGGCGAGGGCACCCUGGGAGAUGAUACUGUGGCCAAUGGAGAACUCAACGAGACAGAUGAGAUCUGUGAAUAUGGCAUUUCCUCACCAGCUGGAGCCAAUUUCUCAGGAAAUUGAAAGUUCUGAGCGACGAAGCGAUUUCGGAGUGAUUUUGGAGAGAUUUUCAAAUCUACUUUCAAAGUUUUUCAAAGCGAUAUUCAGCGAAUUUUUACACCUUUUUUUCACGUCUGUUAUAAAUAACAUCUUUCAUUGACGUCUGCUGAUAUCGCUUUUUCAUUCCCAACUGCUCUUUUGAGAGCACAAAGACUGGGGGUGCAAUGCCAUUCUGGGCCCCCCAGAGGAAGCGACAAGCAGAAUGUGGUUCCCUCUCCGAGACUUAUAAGCCUCCUGAUGGUCGGCUGACCAAGGACGUGCUUCUCGGAGAGGGUGGAACUGGAGAAGUGUUUAAGGGUCGCCACCAUCGCAAAGGAGUGGUGGCUGUGAAGAUGGCCAACAUCAGCAGGGAUGAAGAGUCUGUUUGCCGGGAAGUUAGUUUUCUCCGGAAGUUCGGCGGCCACAAGAACGUCGCUGCUUUCCAUGGAGCCUAUUAUAGUGCUCCACUUAAUGAGUGUUCAUCGGAGCUGCUGGAGAUUGUCCUUGAAUACUGUGGGGGCGGCUCCCUACAUGACAUGAUAAAUUCCACCGAAGGCCAAUCCCUGAGAGAGACCUGGAUUGGCUAUGUCUGCCAAGAAGUGUUAAAGGCACUCAAGCACAUCCACAAGAACAGAGCCGUGCACCGGGACAUCAAGAGCCCAAACAUAAUGUUUACAGAGAAAGGGAAGGUGAAACUGAUCGAUUUUGGACUCUGCUGGGACCUGGACCCACAGACUGGAAAGUGCUAUGAGAGUGAAGGCACUGUGCACUGGAUGGCGCCCGAGGCCAUAAGGAGGAGAGGCAAACCAGUGGCGUAUGACACCAAAUGUGACAUCUGGUCCCUGGGGAUUACUGCCAUCGAAAUGGCCGAGGGAGAAACACCAUAUGCCAAUCAGUAUCCAGUGUCAGACCUCAUACUGAACAACGAUGCACCGGAGCUUCAAUCAAAGACCUGGUCACAGAAUUUUGUGUCCUUUGUCAAAUCUUGUCUGGAAAAGGAACCAUCAAAGAGGUGGAGUGCUGAAGAACUUCUGCAGCACCCGUUCAUUACUGAACUGCCCCCAAAGAAGACAAUUAGGGCUGAAAUAAAGAAACACCUUCAGGUGCUGCAGAACCAUCUGACCAAGAAAGGAUUGAAGGGAGCAGCUGUCUGGACCAUGAAGAAGCUGCAGAGUGCUUGGUCCUUCUGCACUCCCCAGACAUUGCCAGAACAAAGUGUGGCUGAGCAAAUGGCACUGGAGGGCUUUCCCUCUUACUGAUCUUGUGGCAAAUAACAUCAGUGCUCAAGAUGAACCUCCUUAAUAACAUCCAAGGAGAAACAUCCACAGGGAAAGCACCAGUGCCAAUGACAGCUCCACCAGAACCAUCUCCUUUUAAGCCACCAUAGCUGAACCAGUCGUGUCUUGAACAUCCACUGACAGUGUCUUCACCUUCAUCCAGAGCUCCAUACUUACUGUAUCCUUUUCAGACCACCAUAUUUUCACUAGUGGUGUCUUGAGAUCCUGCAACUCCACCAGCAGUCUCACUUUGAAGGACCACAUCACCACCAGUGGUACCUUACUUUCCAUCUAAUGGCUCCACCACCAGCCUUUUCUCUCCCUUCUAGUGCACCUUUACCACCAGACUGUCAAUCUUUUCACAGGUCCACAUGCCACACAAGCCGCUUUUUCAAGAACCACAGCUCCACUUGUGAUGCCUAAGUUUCCAUCUACUAUAGUUCCAACAACAGCCUCUUCUCCUUAUUCUUCUGCACCUCUACCAGCACAUUCUACCAUCUGCUGCACCUUCAACAUCUGCAGCUCAUCAUUAUGCAGCAUCAGCAUUAUUCUGGUGUGUUUUCUUCAUUUUACUGAAGACUAUCACCUUUUCACCAGAGGUGUCUUAAGCUCAUGCAACUCCACCUGCAUUCAUACUUUCGGUAAGGCUCCACUGUGCCCUCCAGCAUCCUGUCUGCCUGUGUGCAGAUGUGGGAGUGCACAUUCUUUUGCGCAUUCUUGGCACUUGCUGCCAUCUAUGUGCACAUCCACGCACCAUAUCUGACUUUAUAACAUCGCGUGUGCAUGUUUAAGCCUUUUCAUUAAAGAGACACCAAAGGAAAUAUAUUGAGCUUGGUUAUGUUUCCUCGCUCUUGAUCUUAUUUUUGCUGCUUCUGACUUCUGGAUUAUGACUCGGCCUGAUUCCUGGACUUUCUAUUGCUUGAACUCCGCCUGCCUCUUGACCUCUGCCUGUCCCCGACCAUGAAUGAACUCAGCCUGCCUCUGUUUUUUGGCCUGUCCCUGAUUAUGCUUGAACUCUGCCAGCCUCUUGACCUCUGCGUAUCCCUGACCAUGAAUGAACUCAGCCUGCCUCUGUCUUUUGGCCUGUCCCUGAUUAUGCUUGAACUCAGCCUGCCCAGACCUCAGCUUGACUUCAGGAAAUGUCUUCCUUUCUGGUUUUCCACUACCAUCUGUAUUUACACUAUCACAGCUCCAACAGUGGUGUCCACAUUUAAUUGUCACAGCUCCACCAGUUAGAUUUUGCCUUUAUAGUCCACAGCUCCAGCAGUUGUAUCUUAUUUUGUAACAUCCAUUCUUCUUUUCAUGCAUCUUUGUAUCCACAACCAGACUCUCUUUCUUAUUCUGCUACAACUCUACCACCAUGCUAACAUACUUCCAGCAUUUUCAUCUCCGUUAGCAUUACAUAUUACACCUGCCACAGUUAAAACACACUCACAUACCCCUCCACUUCCUCCUACCGAAAUCAUCUUUCUUACAGUCCUCCACUACUGUAUAUAAUAUCUACAGCGGUGCAUCCUCAGCAAAUGGUCUUUCUCUAUACAAACCAAUCCAUUUGCACCACCGGCCAUCUUUAUUCUUCUUAUUUUCCACUCCAACAAUAUUUCCUCGUAACUUUAUAUUGUCUUCAAACCACCUCACAGCAACCACUAAAACUAAGGCCCCUUAAAAUAGUAGUUUCUUCAACUCCCUAUUGCUUCACCAUUGGUGCUUUUUUACUUCAUUUAUUUAACUCCAACUCACAUUUUCAAUCCCUGCAUGCACUCUUAUUGUUUUCUAUUUUUCAUAUCAUCAUACACACACACCCCUCCACAUACUGCACCCUCUCUAGUUUAUCUUUUAAUUCAUAGCCCCCAUCUGCACCUCAAGUGGUAUGGCUUCAUUAUUUUUUCUUCUACUCCAACAAUACCUUCAAACUGACAUUUUGUUUUUAAGCAGCCUCACAUCACCAUAGCAGAAAAUCCUCCACCACAAUCCCUUAGGGCAGAGACACACUUUGAGAUUCGGGGAGAUUAGUCACCUGGCAACACAUCACUUCUUCUUAAAACGACUAAUCUCCCUGAAC
Molecule: RNA transcript, 4408 nt
Organism: Xenopus laevis (African clawed frog)
Lineage: Eukaryota; Metazoa; Chordata; Amphibia; Anura; Pipidae
Gene name: traf2 and NCK-interacting protein kinase-like
Exons: 15
Source: RefSeq, a predicted model, not a curated record